CAAUUGCUAACACUCACACGAUACUUAAUGGUUCAAAGUUUCAACCAGACAUAGAGAAAGAUAGGGGCUUAUAGUUUCGCCUCCCAACUUUUUUUCUUAAGGGUAAUGUCAACAAUAAUAAUUUAUGACAUUCGAGUGGAUAUAUAUAUAUAUAUAUAUAGGGUAAGUAUAUUCUAACAACACCUCUUAAGACCUUAUUCUAACAACCUAGUCUUAUUCUGCUAACACCCCACCCCACCUCCCGAUUGGACGCAACCACCGCCCAGCUCCCACAUGAACCCAAUCUACCUCCACCUUCUUCCACCUCCUACCCCACCCCACCCAAAUGCGGCGCCCUCCCACCCAACCUCCACCUUCUUCCACCCACGACCGACCCCCCUCUCCCCCACCAUCUUCCACACAUGGCACCACGACCCAACCCCCCGUCCACCUUCCUUUUGCCAGGAUCCACUACCCACAAGGUCGGGAUCCCCUCCCCCUCCGUAUCCUCCUUUUACCUCCGGCGACGACCUCCCUCCGCCGCCCACUGGUGCGGCCUCGGCUCCCAGCGCCACCAGCCCAAUCCCCGCGCUGCCUCCUCUCCAUGCACCUUCCCAGCUCCCUGCGCUUCACACAGACGCGCCUCACCUGCCUUCCCGCAGCUCCCCGGCCACAAAAUCGACCGGUGACGACCAGGCACGCCCCGGUAGCCAGAUCUAGCUCCACCUUCUCCCAUCCUCUUUUGCAGGCCUCCUCUCCUGUUGAGAUUGGUACACACCGAUUCGUCUCGCUAGUGCAUGCUACCGGCGGCGGAUCAGGACCCGCAAUCAUCCCUAGCGCACGUCCCGUGUGCCUCCCGCGACGGAUCCGGGCCGGCAACUGCCGCCCUAGUGCAGCUCGGUUGCGCCCCCAUAUGCAGCUCGGUUUUGUCCUUGUGGACACUAGCCACCGCGGCAUCGGGGCGGAAUCCGGUGAGAGGCCGCCGAGAAGAACCUUUGGUCGCCCCCACCGGUCGUGGCCGAAGCAUACAUGGACUGCUGACAGAAACUACAUGGAGGGAGGCUCGUGGAUCGUUGGUGCAAGGCUCUCCGAUCCUAUUGCAGAUCGUUGUUUUGGUGUUUUUCUUAUAAAGUGUAAAAUGUAGUCUACUGUUGUUUGCUCUUGAGGUUCAAUUUACUUGUUCUUGCAGGAAGAAAGGUGGUGUUGUGCGGUUUGAUGCAGCGUUGCAUUUUUUCUAUUUAUCGUGCAGUUUGGAUAGCGAGCCUCCCUCCGUGCAGUCUGCUGGCACGUCCAUGCAGAACAGCGUGUGUGUGUGUGUGCAACACAGGACGCAUGGGUUGCCGAUGGCUGUUGUGCAGUUGAUUGUUUUUCCAUUUUCAGAAAAAUUGCAUGACGCUAUCCGGUCGUUAGUUUUUA
Molecule: long non-coding RNA, 1395 nt
Organism: Triticum urartu
Lineage: Eukaryota; Viridiplantae; Streptophyta; Magnoliopsida; Poales; Poaceae
Source: RefSeq, a predicted model, not a curated record